This 405-nucleotide ribosomal RNA is filed under the name uncultured bacterium. Its description in RNAcentral is "bacterial SSU rRNA". It matches the Rfam family "Bacterial small subunit ribosomal RNA", at positions 28 to 416 of the family's 1533-position model. The record is from RNAcentral.
AGCGAACGCUGGCGGCGUACUUAACACAUGCAAGUCGAACGGGGAUCGCCUGUGUAGCAAUACAUAGGCGGUUCUAGUGGCGUACGGGUGAGUAACACGUGGGCAACCUGCCCUUGAGUCCGGGAUACCCUCUCGAAAGGGAGGCUAAUACUGGAUACGUUCCUCGGGUCGCGAGAUCUGGGGAGGAAAGGUGGCGAAAGCUGCCGCUCUUGGAGGGGCUUGCGGCCUAUCAGCUAGUUGGUGAGGUAAUGGCUCACCAAGGCUAUGACGGGUAGCUGGUCUGAGAGGACGACCAGCCACACGGGAACUGAGACACGGUCCCGACUCCUACGGGAGGCAGCAGUGGGGAAUUUUCCGCAAUGGGCGAAAGCCUGACGGAGUGACGCCGCGUGGGGGACGAAGGCC